This 1726-nucleotide long non-coding RNA is filed under the name Mustela putorius furo (domestic ferret). RNAcentral's name for it is "lncRNA (ENSMPUG00000030660.1)". The record is from RNAcentral. Lineage: Eukaryota; Metazoa; Chordata; Mammalia; Carnivora; Mustelidae.
CUUUGAUGCUGUGACCUAGGUCAAUUCUACCAUAAAGGAAAAGAGUAUCCUUGUAUAUGUGGACAUAAUAUAUAUUGAUGAAAAAAGCCAAAACUCGGUGGUUUUCAAACUCAAGAGACAAACACAGGAUGAGUCUACCCAGCCAGAAAAGUAAGUUAUCAAAGGUAAGCAUAUUCAUUUUUUUUUUUCCUUGUGGGAGUGUAUUUUUUAUUGUUGUCUAACAAAUUACCAAAAACUUAGUGAAUUCCACCACCACCUACUUGCUAUCUCAAGGUCUAUGUAAGUCAUGAAUCUGGGCACAGCUUAACUGGGUUUUCUUAAAACGCUGAGAUCAAGAUGUCGGCCGAGGCUGGUUUCCUAUUUGGAGGCUCAACUAAGGAAAGGUGCUCCCAUGCUCACACCACUUGUUGGCAUAUUUUUCUUGUAGCUGUCAGACUCACAGGAACUUGAUUCUUCAAAGCUAUCAAGAAGGGCAAGACUCUGGAGUAUAUCCGCUAGCAAGACAGGUCUUUCAUAAUGUGAUGUAAUUGUGGGAAUGAUACUCCUCUAUCUUUGCCGUAGAACGUACUGCCAUGAUUAGAGUGGCAUCCUACCACUUUUGUCAUAUUCUAUUGGUGAGAGGCAAGUCGCAGAUCCUUACCACCUCCUUGAAGACCUUGAAGUUCCUCCUUCCAGGGAAGAUUACACAAGGGCCUGAACAGCAAGAGCCAGGAUUGUGUGGACCACCUUAGAGUCUGUUCGUAAUGGUGAACAACUUUGAAAUCUCUCUCCUUGCACUGCUUUUCACUUGAAUAAUCAAGGGAACCAGGGACUUGGGAAAAUGUAAAAUAUGAAACUCAUUCACCUAAAAAUAUUCCUCUCAUUUCAGCUGGAGAACCUGAUACAGCACCCCAAGAGGGAGGCCAGGCUCACCAACUCUACCCUCCACACCCAUCCAUAUGACACAACUGAAGAAAAAUGUUCUCUACCUGGAGAGAAACACAGAGAGCAGCAUAGAAUGAACCACAUUCCUAAGUGGGAGAUGACUGCUCUCACCAGGGAAACCAGGGAUACCGGGGGCCCAUUGGAAAUUGCUUCUUGAAGCAGAUGGGCUUUGAGCCUUGUCUUGCUGUGUGGAUUGUAAUAUUUAACCUUUACCACCAGGAUGCCAGGUGCCAGGCUGGAACUCUCCAACACCAAGGGGAAGGGAGGCCUGCAAUCCCUCCUGGUGGGCAGGACGCUUCCUGGGGCACCGUGUCGACAAACGCUUGUCUAAUGGCACAGAUGUGCGGCCGCUCAUGACCAUUGGCCAUUAGCCAAGUGGCAGCUCUAAUCGAAGGCCCCAAAGGCCGAGGGAAUGACAACAACAAAAAAAGAGCGCUUUAUUUGCUCCAAGAUUUCCAUGCCCCCACAAGGAACAGAGAGGAGCAGCGGACUCUUUAGGAUCGUUAAGAGUCAUGUGGAUUUGUCAAGUCUUCGACCCUACAAAUGCAAGCGUGGAAGAGAUACUCAAGGACAGCCCGCCCAUAAGUGCAGAGCCUGGAGCACAGAAGAUGCUAUGAAACCGUAAUGUAAGGAGGGGGAUAAAGAUAACGUGCAGGUACCUUCAAUUUUUAACAAGAAUCACUAAAAUACCCAGUUUCCACUUCAUAAGGCUAUUUCCAUGUUUUGGGCAACAGCUGGUCCCACUUUACUGCUGUGGGUACAGUGAGUUCUAGUAAAUGCUGUGUAAUAGAUGUAUUCAUAC